Acipenser ruthenus (sterlet) is the source of this 6046-nucleotide RNA transcript. It is a transcript of the gene named NACHT, LRR and PYD domains-containing protein 12-like, with no coding region annotated. The transcript has 12 exons. Lineage: Eukaryota; Metazoa; Chordata; Actinopteri; Acipenseriformes; Acipenseridae. The record is from RefSeq and is a predicted model, not a curated record.
GAUCAAGCUCUUGCUUUCAGGAAGUAAAACUAACUUUGGAAAUCUUUUGAGGAGACAACAUUUUAUACUUCUAAAUCCUGCAGCAGAUUUAACAGUUUUCUCAACAAAACACUGUUCAGAACCGCAAGAAUAAAAUGACUACAAGUACAAAGGAUCUCAUCCUUAAAGAGCUAGAAGAAUUACUUCAAGAAGAGUACAGAAGAUUUACAUGGAAACUGAGAGAUAUGGGACUGAAAGAAGGAUAUAAACACAUUCCUAAAAGCCAGUUGGAAAAUGCAGAAAGAAUUGAUGUUGUGGACAAGGUGAUUGAUUUCUAUGGUGAUGAUUAUGCUGUGGAGGUCACAGCUGAAACCCUGGUUGCCAUCAACAAGCUUGAUCUUGCCGACAGACUGAAGAGAGACGUACAAAAGUUCACAGAAACUGCAGGUAAAAAUCCACAGACCUUGUCUGCUGACACUCCAGUAACCAGAAGCAGACUCCCAGUUGCCUUACAAAGGCUGAAAGAUGACCACAAAUCCUUCCUAAAAAGAAAGUUUGAAUGUGUAUCCGAAUGUAUUGCUAAACCUGGGGAGCAAUCUCUACUCAAUGAAGUGUUUACCAAAGUACACAUGACAGAGGGUGAAUAUGGAGAGCUGAACUACAAGCAUGAGGUGAGAGAGAUCGAGGUAGCAUCCAAGAAAGGAAGAUCACAGGUUCAACACAUCAAUUGCAAUGACAUUUUCAUACCAAGUGAGAAAAGUCCCAGAAUAAGGACUGUACUAACCAAGGGGAUCGCUGGCAUUGGAAAAUCCUUCUCGGUUCAAAAGUUCAUUCUUGACUGGGCAGCUGGAAAUGACAACAGUGGAUUUGAUUUCAUAUACAUUUUUCCAUUCCGUGAACUCAACUUGAUAAAGAAAGAAAUCAGUCUGGUGGAACUUGUUCAAUUGUAUUAUCCACACCUGAAAGAGUGGGAGGAUGUUUCAUCAGCUGACUCAAAAGUCCUAUUCAUCUUUGAUGGGCUAGAUGAAAGUAGACUUGAGCUGGACUUUGCAAGCUGUAUGAAGCUGAGUGAUAAGAAAACAGCAACUGCCUUGGAUGUUUUGCUGAUCAAUCUUAUAAAAGGAGAUCUGAUUCCCUCUGCGUCUCUUUGGAUAACCUCCAGGCCUGCAGCAACAAGUCAAAUUCCUUCUGAACACAUCAGCAGGGUGACUGAGAUUCAAGGCUUUGAAGAUCAGCAGAAGGAAGAGUACUUCAGGAAGAGAUUCAAAGAUCAAACUCUGACAGAAAAGAUCAUCUCACACAUGAGAACAUUGAGGAGCCUUCAUGUGAUGUGCUAUGUCCCAGCUUUCUGCUGGAUUAUAGCCACUGUUCUGGGACACACAUUGGGUGAGAAUGGCAAUGAGAACAUACCCAGAACCCUGACAGAAGUGUAUACACACUUCCUGCUUGUUUUGCUGACUUUACAGAAUAAGAAACAUGAAAACAGAGAAGAACUACUGAAGCAAAAUCAGGAAGCCAUUCUCAAUUUGGGGAAGUUGGCCUUUCUUAACCUAGAAAGAAACAAGCUGAUCUUUUAUGAACAUGACCUAAGAGAAUGUGGCAUUGAUAUAAGACAGUCAUCAGUUUACUCUGGGGUUUGCAGAGAAAUAUUCAAGGAAGAUCCAACCUUUCUUAAAGACACUGUAUAUUCCUUUGUGCAUCUGACAGUGCAGGAAUAUUUUGCAGCUUUGUAUGUUUUUACAUCAUUUCAAAACAAAACUGCACUGAAAAAACUGCUCUUUGCUCUUCGUAGACACCGUUUAUGUGAUGUGUAUAACAAUGCAUUGAGCAAAGCUAGUAAGAGCAGAAAUGGUCACCUUGAUCUUUUUGUCAGGUUCCUCUUGGGCCUUGGGAUGGAAAAAAAUCAAAAGCUGUUGAAAGGCCUUUUGUUAGAAACAGAAGACAAUUUAACGGAUGUCCAAAAUACAACAGAGUACAUUAAACAGCUGAUUAAGAUGAAUACCUUUCCAGAAAGAAGUCUCAAUCUCUUUCAUUGUUUAAGUGAACUGAAUGACAAUUCUCUUGUUGAGGAGAUCAAGGUGUCCCUGACCUCAGGAAAUCUUUCACGACAGAAACUUUCACCAUCAGAUUGCUCUGCACUUGCCUAUGUGUUACUAAUGUCAGAAGAUGAAUUGGAUACAUUGGACUUGAGCCGUCACUCACUGGGAGACGAGGCUCUGCUGAGACUGGUGCCAGCUGCAAGAUUACAUAAAAGACUGAUAUUGGAGUGGUGUGAUCUCACAGGGGAUUGCUGUGAGGACCUGGCCUCUGCUCUCUGUACAAACCAGUCAACCCUGAGAGAGCUGGAGCUGGGAUGGAAUAAGCUGGGGGAAUCCGGAAUGAAGCUGACUGCUGCACUGAAGCAUCCAAACUGUAAAUUAGAGAAACUGGGGCUGGAGUGGUGUGAUCUCACAGGGGAUUGGUGUGAGGACCUGGCCUCUGCUCUCUGUACAAACCAGACAACCCUGAGAGAGCUGCAGCUGAGAGGGAAUAACCUAGGGAAAUCCGGAAUGAAGCUGACUGCUGCACUGAAGCAUCCAAACUGUAAAUUAGAGAAACUGGGGCUGGAGCGGUGUGAUCUCACAGAGCAUUGCUGUGAGGACCUGGCCUCUGCUCUCUGUACAAACCAGUCAACCCUGAGAGAGCUGGAGCUGGGAUGGAAUAACCUGGGAAAAUCAGGAAUGAAGCUGCUGUCUUCUGCACUGAAUCUUCCAAGCUGUAAAAUAGAGAAACUGGGGCUGGAGCGCUGUGAUCUCACAGUGGAUUGUUGUGAAGACCUGGCCUCUGCUCUCUGUACAAACCAAUCAACCCUGAGAGAGCUGCAGUUGGGAGAGAAUAACCUGGGGGAAUCGGGAAUUAAGCUGACUGCUGCACUGAAGCAUCCAAACUGUAAAUUAGAGAAACUGGGGCUGGGGCAGUGUGAUCUCACAAGGGAUUGUUGUGAGGACCUGGCCUCUGCUCUCUGUACAAACCAGUCAACCCUGAGAGAGCUGGAGCUGAGAGGGAAUAAGCUGGGGGAAUCGGGAAUGAAGCUGACUGCUGCACUGAAGCAUCCGAACUGUAAAUUAGAGAAACUGGGGCUGGGGCGGUGUGAUCUCACAGGGGAUUGCUGUGAGGACCUGGCCUCUGCUCUCUGUACAAACCAGUCAACUCUGAGAGAGCUGCAGCUGGGAGGGAAUCACCUGGGGGAAUCGGGAAUGAAGCUGCUGACUGCCGCACUGAAGCAUCCAAACUGUAAAUUAGAGAAACUGCGGCUGGAGGGGUGUGGUCUCCCAAGGGGUUGCUGUGAGGACCUGGCCUCUGCUCUCUGUACAAACCAGUCAACCCUGAGAGAGUUGGAACUGAGAGAGAAUAAGCUGGGGGAAUCGGGAAUGAAGCUGACUGCAGCACUGAAGCAUCCAAACUGUAAAUUAGAGAAACUGGGGUAAGUAAACACUGAGUGUUUGUGUGAAUAUUACAUUACUGAUAGGGAGGAAUGACAAGGGGGAUGAGAGAGGAAGAAAGAAUGACAGCAGGGAAAGAGAUAGAGAUAUGGAGAAAGAGAGAAAGAACAAAAGGGAGAAGAAAGAGAAAGACCCAGCUUUCGCCAAAAUAGAAAGACCAUGUCCCCCUGUUGCAACCAUGGCUUCAAGAGGUUUAUAUGAUAAAUGUGCUUUUCUUCCCAACCCGGCGUGUAACCUCAAAAGAUCCUUGCCAGUAGUUUACCCACCGACCCACAGACUCAAGACACUUGCAGAGGUCCAAUACAUACCGGACUGUAUUAGUCGAAUUAUCCUGCUGUUCCUCCCACAUCUCUCUGACCAGAAUGAGCACACCCCAGGGUCUCCAUCCGUACAGAAGCUUGAAUGGAGAAAACCCUGUGGAAGCCUGGGGAACCUCUCUGAUAGCAAAGAGAAGGGGAGGAAUCAGCUGGUCUCAGUUGUGCACUUCACUAUCAAUAAAUCUACACAACAUGCUUUUCAGGGUUUUAUUAAAACGCUCCAGAAGCCCAUCGGUCUGGGGGUGGUAAAUCGAGGUCCUGAUGGUCUUAAUCCCCAAAAGUUUACACGUUUCGCAGACCAGCCGCAACAUAAAGCUGAUACCUUGGUCGGUCAGCAUUUCUUUGGGGAUCCCCACCCGGGAGAAAACCUUCACUAGCUUGUUGGAGACAGAUUUAGCAGAUGCAAAGCAGAGUGGGAUGGCCUCCGGAACAUGUAGCGUAAUCCAAAAUGACCAACAGGUGUUCGUAUCCUGCCGCACUCCUCUCUAGCGGUCCGACUAUAUCCACCUGUGUUAAGGAUGGUGUUGUGGUGCAAAAUAACCAAAGGCAGUCCAAACAAUAAUAGGUUUUGAAAGUAACCUGGUUGUUUAUUUAAAUCAAAGCAACAAAAAGCUAAUUAAUUAUUAACAAACGCUGCCGGUUACCAGCAAUUGUAACUCGGCAGCAAAACAAGGCUCAGUCCCAAAAUAAUAAUAAUAAAUAAUCCUGCUGCUGGGCAGCGCUAUACAGCUAUGCUUCCUUUCCACGAUCGCAGCUGUGCUGGUGCAAUCCAGGUUUAAUGCCGCGGGGUCUGACCGUACUGUGCAGUGAGGUGCUGUGCUGUGUUGGGCUGAGCAGGGGAAAGUGCUGUGGAUCCUUUGCUGGUUCUGUGGCGUCAGUGUCUGAUUCCUAUUCCUCUGCAAUACACAAAUCAACCUGUGCUCCGGUGAAUUAACACACAGCCACAGGUAAAUGUCAACAUAACUGCCUCCCUCUUGAAACACAAAACUCCUCUCUGCAAUCAGACUGGCGGCACACUGUACCAAUCACCACGCAACAACCAGCUGAUUACAAUAGACUUGUUUAGUGUUACUGCAGCUAGGGCCCGCAUGUGAGUUUGGCAAGCCUUGAGUUUGGCCAUCUUGAGGAAAGCGCAACACUGACCUUAUCAAACGCUCCUUCUGGUUGGGAAGUAGUCCUACAGCUCGGAUCCCUUCGCUCUCUGUCAUACUACCCCAAUACGCUGAAACGGAUCUUUCACUAGCGGCAACGGCGCACCAGUGGGGCCCAUGGGACGGCACUUCCUGCAGCGCUCACAAAAACACUGCACAUCACCAUCUAGCCCCAGCCAAAAGAAAUGUGUCACAAGCCUCACUUUGGUUUUGUCCCAUUCCAAAUGCCCGGAGAGGGGAAUAGCGUGAGCCAGUUGUAAUAAGUCCUCCCUAAAAGGCCGAGUAAUGAGCAACUGGUGACGAACUUCCCCCAUUUGGGGUCAUUUUACAACCCAAUACAAGAGAUCUUGAUUAAUUUCAAAGUGGGGGUACAUGGCGCUGGCUCCAUGGCCUUCCCCCAGACUCAUCACCAAUCGCCCCCAGCUGAAACUUUUCAGACUCCCUCCAUUGCCAGCUCUAAUUCUUAGCAGCCCGAACUUCCUGUUUAGUUUUUUGAGGGUUAAAUCUAUGGCAAAAUCAUGCCAGGUCACGAAAGGGGAAGAUCUCUCCAAUUACAUCCUCUUUCUUAGCCAAUAGGGAGGACAGGGCCGUCAAAGCAACCAACCAAUCUUUUGAACUGCUUGCAGUACCACCCCAGAUUGACAGGCAGUGGCAAAUGAGGACACAAACCCACUUGUACACGCGUCACCUGCUGGCCAUUUUUUUAUUUAUAGUAACCUUUGGAUAGGUAAGCAUAUCCCCAUGAAUGCAUUUAAUAUGAACCCGUCCCGUUACUUGUUUAUGCCGCGGUGAGAUUAACCCGUAUUGUAUUAGGGACUGACCACACCCUGAAUCCAAGAGAGCUUGGGUUUGUGUAACAUCCAUUGUCACAGGAAGGACAAAAGUCAUCUGCUGGAGUGUCUGAGGUAAUUGAACAGUCUUACCAGGACGGAUGAGGUCACACUCCAUGGCUGGGUCUUACAGGGCUUUUGACCCCCUGCACAGGAGCACGAAUGCACCCGAUAGCCAGCAUAGAUCUCUCCCUGUUACAGAAAUAGAAUGAUAUUUGGUGGUAAAUCUCCCUCCCGACCUGUGAGGGUGCUAAGUAAUGGGAACAGAGUACCCUGGAAUGUUUGGC